AGAGUUUGAUCCUGGCUCAGGAUGAACGCUAGCGGCAGGCCUAAUACAUGCAAGUCGAGGGGUAAGGCUCUUUCGGGAGUACACGACCGGCGCACGGGUGCNNNNNNNNNCGUAUGCAACCCACCUGUAACAGAGGGAUAGCCCAUAGAAAUGUGGAUUAAUAUCUCAUAGUUCUUUUGUUCCGCAUGGGACGAAAGAUAAAGCUCCGGCGGUUAAAGAUGGGCAUGCGUGACAUUAGCUAGUUGGUGGGGUAACGGCCCACCAAGGCUACGAUGUCUAGGGGUUCUGAGAGGAUGAUCCCCCACACUGGUACUGAGACACGGACCAGACUCCUACGGGAGGCAGCAGUAAGGAAUAUUGGGCAAUGGAGGCAACUCUGACCCAGCCAUGCCGCGUGAAGGAUUGACGGCCUCUGGGUUGUAAACUUCUUUUGUACGGGAAUAACCCUCCGAACGUGUUCGGAGCUGAAGGUACCGUAAGAAUAAGGAUCGGCUAACUCCGUGCCAGCAGCCGCGGUAAUACGGAGGAUCCAAGCGUUAUCCGGAUUUACUGGGUUUAAAGGGUGCGUAGGCGGAUUGAUAAGUCAGUGGUGAAAGCCUGCAGCUUAACUGCAGAACUGCCAUUGAUACUGCCAGUCUGGAGUAUGGUUGAGGUAGCUGGAAUGUGUCAUGUAGCGGUGAAAUGCUUAGAGAUGACACAGAACACCGAUUGCGAAGGCAGCUCACAAAGCCAUUAUUGACGCUGAGGCACGAAAGUGUGGGGAUCAAACAGGAUUAGAUACCCUGGUAGUCCACACCGUAAACGAUGAUAACUCGCUGUCGGCGAUAAACAGUCGGUAGCCAAGCGAAAGCGAUAAGUUAUCCACCUGGGGAGUACGUUCGCAAGAUUGAAACUCAAAGGAAUUGACGGGGGCCCGCACAAGCGGAGGAACAUGUGGUUUAAUUCGAUGAUACGCGAGGAACCUUACCUGGGCUUAAAUGUAGAGCGACAGAUUGUGAAAGCAGUCCUUCUUCGGACGAUCUACAAGGUGCUGCAUGGUUGUCGUCAGCUCGUGCCGUGAGGUGUUAGGUUAAGUCCUGCAACGAGCGCAACCCUUACCUUUAGUUGCCAGCAUGUAAUGAUGGGGACUCUAAAGGAACUGCCUACGCAAGUAGUGAGGAAGGUGGGGAUGACGUCAAAUCAGCACGGCCCUUACGUCCAGGGCUACACACGUGCUACAAUGGCCGGUACAGAGGGCAGCCACCUGGUGACAGGGAGCGAAUCUCUAAAGCCGGUCUCAGUUCGGAUCGAAGUCUGCAACCCGACUUCGUGAAGCUGGAAUCGCUAGUAAUCGCGCAUCAGCCAUGGCGCGGUGAAUACGUUCCCGGGCCUUGUACACACCGCCCGUCAAGCCAUGGAAGCUGGGGGUACCUGAAGUCGGUUACCGCAAGGAGCUGCCUAGGGUAAAACUAGUAACUGGGGCUAAGUCGUAACAAGGUAACC
Molecule: ribosomal RNA, 1482 nt
Filed under: uncultured bacterium
Lineage: Bacteria
Description: 16S ribosomal RNA
Rfam family: Bacterial small subunit ribosomal RNA
Source: RNAcentral